This 350-nucleotide ribosomal RNA is filed under the name uncultured eukaryote. Its description in RNAcentral is "SSU rRNA". It matches the Rfam family "Eukaryotic small subunit ribosomal RNA", at positions 567 to 931 of the family's 1831-position model. The record is from RNAcentral.
CCAGCACCUGCGGUAAUUCCAGCUCCAAUAGCGUAUAUUAAAGUUGUUGCAGUUAAAAAGCUCGUAGUUGGACUUUAGGCAAGGCGGCCUGGUCACCCUAAUGGGUGUACUGGGCUUCGCUGAGCCUCACCUUCGGGGACCGGUUGUGCGCAAGUGCAGCCGUUGAACCGAGCCUUACCUUGAGGAAAUUAGAGUGUUUAAAGCAGGCAUUUGCUUGAAUACGUUAGCAUGGAAUAACAUGAUAGGACUUUGGUUCUAUUUUGUUGGUUUGAGGACCAAAGUAAUGAUUAAUAGGGACAGUUGGGGGCAUUAGUAUUCAAUAGUCAGAGGUGAAAUUCUUGGAUUUAUUG